Molecule: ribosomal RNA, 1394 nt
Filed under: uncultured Bordetella sp.
Lineage: Bacteria; Pseudomonadati; Pseudomonadota; Betaproteobacteria; Burkholderiales; Alcaligenaceae
Description: partial 16S-23S ribosomal RNA intergenic spacer
Rfam family: Bacterial small subunit ribosomal RNA
Source: RNAcentral
AUUGAUUCUGGCUCAGAUUGAACGCUGGCGGGAUGCUUUACACAUGCAAGUCCGAACGGCAGCACGGACUUCGAUGCAGUUUGGCGAGUGGCGAACGGGUGAGUAAUGUAUCGGAACAUGCCUAAAGUAGCGGGGGAUAACUACGCGAAAGCGUAGCUAAUACCGCAUACGCCCUUCGAAGGGGAAAGCAGGGACCUUCGGGCCUCGCACUAUUAGAGCGGCCGAUAUCGGAUUAGCUAGUUGGUGGAGUAACGGCUCACCAAGGCGACGAUCCGUAGCUGGUUUGAGAGGACGACCAGCCACGCUGGGACUGAGACACGGCCCAGGCUCCUACGGGAGGCAGCAGUGGGGAAUUUUGGACAAUGGGGAAACCUGAUCCAGCCAUCCCGCGUGGCUGAUGAAGAAGGCCUUCGGGUUGUAAAGCACUUUUGGCAGGAAAGAAACGGCACGGGAUAAUACCCCGUGCAACUGACGGUACCUGCAGAAUAAGCACCGGCUAACUACGUGCCAGCAGCCGCGGUAAUACCGUAGGUGCAAGCGUUAAUCGGAAUUACUGGGCGUAGCGUGCGCAGGCGGUUCGGAAGAAAAGAUGUGAAAUCCCAGGCUUAACUUUUUGGAACUGCAUUUUUAACUACGAGCUGUAGUGUCAGAGGAGGUGGAAUUCCCGCGAUGUAGCAGUGAAAUGCGUAGAUAUACCCGGAGGAACACCGAUGGCGAAGGCAGCCUCUGGGAUAACACUGGCGCUCAUGCACGAAAGCGUGGGAGCAAACAGGAUUAGAUACCCUGGUAGUCCGCCCCUAAACGAUGUCAACUAGCUGUUGGGGCCUUCGGGCCUUGUGGCCCGCAGCUAACGCGUGGUUGACCGCCUGGGAAAUACGGUCGCAGAUUAAAACUCAAGGGAAUUGACGGGGACCCGCACAAGCGGUGGAUGAUGUGGAUUAAUUCGAUACAACGCGAAAAACCUUACCUACCCUUGACGUGUGGAAUCCCGAAAGAGAGAUUUGGGAGUGCUCAUAGAAGAGAACCGGAACACAGGUGCUGCAUGGCUGUCGUCAGCUCGUGUCGUGAGAUGUUGGGUUAAAAUCCGCAACGAGCGCAACCCUUGUCAUUAGUUGCUACGAAAGGGCACUCUAAUGAGACUGCCGGUGACAAACCGGAGGAAGGUGGGGAUGACGUCAAGUCCUCAUGGCCCUUAUGGGUAGGGCUUCACACGUCAUACAAUGGUCGGGGACAGAGGGUCGCCAGCCCGCGAGGGGAGCCAAUCCCAGGAAACCCGAUCGUAGUCCGGAUCGCAGUCUGCAACUCAUUGCGUGAAGUCGGAGAUCGCUAGUAAUCGCGGAUAAGCAUGUCGCGGUGAAUACGUUCCCGGGUCUUUUCCGCCGUCACACCAUGGG